RNAcentral lists this unclassified non-coding RNA (165 nucleotides) under soil metagenome. Its description in RNAcentral is "partial internal transcribed spacer 1". The record is from RNAcentral.
AGAGUUUACAAACUCCAACCAUUGUGAACCUUACCUUAUUCGUUGCCUUCGGCGGGACGCCCGGCGCCUCAACCGCGACCCUUGGAACGGGGAGCGACCCGCCGGAGGUCACUCAAACUCUUGUUAUUAUAGUCUUCUGUGAGUGAGAAGCUUAAAAAUGAAUUA